This 499-nucleotide ribosomal RNA is filed under the name uncultured Glomeromycotina. Its description in RNAcentral is "partial small subunit ribosomal RNA". It matches the Rfam family "Eukaryotic small subunit ribosomal RNA", at positions 591 to 1092 of the family's 1831-position model. The record is from RNAcentral. Lineage: Eukaryota; Fungi; Glomeromycota.
CCAAUAGCGUAUAUUAAAGUUGCUGCAGUUAAAAAGCUCGUAGUUGAAUUUCGGGAUCGAUAUAUCGGUCGUGCCUCGGUACGUACUGGUAUUUUCGGUUUCUACCUUCUGACGAACCUUGAUGUCAUUAAUUUGGUGUCUUGGGGAAUCAGGACUGUUACUUUGAAAAAAUUAGAGUGUUUAAAGCAGGCUCACGCUUGAAUACAUUAGCAUGGAAUAAUGAAAUAGGACGUUUGAUUCUAUUUUGUUGGUUUCUAGGAUCGACGUAAUGAUUAAUAGGGUUAGUUGUGGGCAUUAGUAUUCAAUUGUCAGAGGUGAAAUUCUUGUAUUUAUUGAAGACUAACUACUGCGAAAGCAUUUGCCAAGGAUGUUUUCAUUAAUCAAGAACGAAAGUUAGGGGAUCGAAGACGAUCAGAUACCGUCGUAGUCUUAACCAUAAACUAUGCCGACUAGGGAUCGGAUGAUGUUAAUUUUUUAAUGACUCAUUCGGCGCCUUACG